Long non-coding RNA from Phyllostomus discolor (pale spear-nosed bat), 853 nucleotides. RefSeq lists it as uncharacterized. Lineage: Eukaryota; Metazoa; Chordata; Mammalia; Chiroptera; Phyllostomidae. The record is from RefSeq and is a predicted model, not a curated record. The transcript is spliced from 2 exons.
CCAAAGAGCUUCCCGAAAUCAGCCACUGUGCAGGGCCGGAGGAGGAACUGUCAAUCUCUAUCUCUUUAUUUUGGACAGUAUUCAGCACUGAAAAAAAAAGCCCUUCUUUGGGUUAUUUCAAAUCCCUUAUAGACACUCCUGCAACCUGGCUGAGGUGGGGCUCUAAAGAAAGCAUUUCCUUUUCACAAUCAUUCCCCCUGUCCUGUGUUGACAUCUCCCUGUUGCUUAAAAGCGCUCCAAUCUGAAAUCAGUAAGAUGUAUUUAUUGUAUAUUCUGUGAUUGCUGUUUGCAAGAAAUCACACAAAAUGGUUAAAGCUAGAGUAUAGAGCGACACACACCAUACUCAAUGGCCGUAGUUCUUAUGGUUUUAUAGUCAGUAUCAAUCCAAGUAGGCAGAUGAAAAAAUUUAUAUACUUCGGUCAAAUGUCUGCACCUGUUUAUCCCAAUUAUGGUUCAACUGAAAUUUAAUAGCAACUCAAUAAAAGAUUGCUUUAUUCAUUUAAAAAAAAAAAGUAAAUGGUCCUAAAGUUGCAGUGUACAAAAGAAUCACUUUGGGAUAUUCAUGGUAGCACUGAAGUAAUACCACAAUAACUAGAAACAACACGAAUGUCCAUGAAUAAGGGAAUGAGGAAAUUAUGUAUGGUAUAGUCCUGUAAUGGAAUAUUAUGCAGCCAUGAAAGUGAGUGAACUAUGAAAGAACCUGGAUAAUCUCAUAAACACAGUUUUGAAAGAAAACUGCAAGUUUCAGAAGAUUACUUUCAGAAUGACACCACUGUUUCAGAGCUCAGAACCAAGCAAAACUUGGCAAUGGAUUCUUAGAUAUGACACCAAAAUUACAAGCAGCGAAAGAAAA